CACGUAGGGCGCAAGCGUUGUCCGGAAUUAUUGGGCGUAAAGAGCUCGUAGGCGGUCUGUUGCGUCUGCUGUGAAAACUCGGGGCUUAACCCCGAGCCUGCAGUGGAUACGGGCAGACUAGAGGUAGGUAGGGGAGAAUGGAAUUCCCGGUGUAGCGGUGAAAUGCGCAGAUAUCGGGAGGAACACCAGUGGCGAAGGCGGAGACCUGGGCCGAUACUGACGCUGAGGUGCGAAAGCGUGGGGAGCAAACAGG
This 253-nucleotide ribosomal RNA is filed under the name uncultured bacterium. RNAcentral's name for it is "partial 16S ribosomal RNA". It matches the Rfam family "Bacterial small subunit ribosomal RNA", at positions 524 to 776 of the family's 1533-position model. The record is from RNAcentral.